This 500-nucleotide ribosomal RNA is filed under the name uncultured bacterium. RNAcentral's name for it is "bacterial SSU rRNA". It matches the Rfam family "Bacterial small subunit ribosomal RNA", at positions 29 to 524 of the family's 1533-position model. The record is from RNAcentral.
UUGAGCGCUGGCGGCGUGCCUAACACAUGCAAGUCGAGCGGCAGCGCGGGAGCAAUCCUGGCGGCGAGCGGCGGACGGGUGAGUAAUGCUUGGGAAUCUGCCUGUUAGUGGGGGACAACCCGGGGAAACUCGGGCUAAUACCGCAUACGCACUACGGUGGAAAGCCGGGGACCGCAAGGCCUGGCGCUAACAGAUGAGCCCAAGUCGGAUUAGCUAGUUGGUAGGGUAACGGCCUACCAAGGCGACGAUCCGUAACUGGUCUGAGAGGACGACCAGUCACACCGGAACUGAGACACGGUCCGGACUCCUACGGGAGGCAGCAGUGGGGAAUAUUGGACAAUGGGGGAAACCCUGAUCCAGCGACGCCGCGUGGGUGAAGAAGGCCUGCGGGUUGUAAAGCCCUUUCAGUGGGGAAGAAAAGCCUCGACCUAACACGUCGGGGUCUUGACGUAACCCAUAGAAGAAGCACCGGCUAACUCUGUGCCAGCCGCCGCAGUAAC